AAGUCGUAACAAGGUUUCCGUAGGUGAACCUGCGGAAGGAUCAUUAACACUCCAAAACUUCUCAUAGCUCUGGGCAACCAGAGUUUAUGAAACCCUAUUCACCUUUUAGCGAACCCGGAGCCUUUUUGGAGGGCUUGAAGGGCAGCGCAAGCUGUUCCUUGACUCCAAAAAUGUGCUCUAUUCUCUUCUGUCCAUUUUUUUUUUAUACCCAAUCAUUAUUUUUCUUUUGUCUGACUGGAAGACCUAGUCUUCCGUUGCUCUUGGCGUUAACGCGUCGAGGCAAUGAAAAAAUCAAACAAAAAAACUAAAAAACAACUCUUAGCAACGGAUAUCUUGGUUCUC
Molecule: unclassified non-coding RNA, 342 nt
Filed under: fungal sp.
Lineage: Eukaryota; Fungi
Description: partial internal transcribed spacer region
Rfam family: Eukaryotic small subunit ribosomal RNA (bases 1-46)
Source: RNAcentral